AUACAGAGGGUGCGAGCGUUAAUCGGAAUUACUGGGCGUAAAGCGCGCGUAGGCGGCUACUUAAGUCAGAUGUGAAAUCCCCGGGCUCAACCUGGGAACUGCAUCUGAUACUGGGUAGCUAGAGUUUAGGAGAGGGAAGUAGAAUUUCAGGUGUAGCGGUGAAAUGCAUUGAGAUCUGAAGGAAUACCAGUGGCGAAGGCGGCUUCCUGGCCUAAAACUGACGCUGAGGUGCGAAAGCGUGGGUAGCAAACGGGAUUAGAAACCCCGGUAGUCC
This 274-nucleotide ribosomal RNA is filed under the name uncultured bacterium. RNAcentral describes it as "partial 16S ribosomal RNA". It matches the Rfam family "Bacterial small subunit ribosomal RNA", at positions 523 to 796 of the family's 1533-position model. The record is from RNAcentral.